Long non-coding RNA from Rhinolophus ferrumequinum (greater horseshoe bat), 4942 nucleotides. RefSeq lists it as uncharacterized. The record is from RefSeq and is a predicted model, not a curated record. Lineage: Eukaryota; Metazoa; Chordata; Mammalia; Chiroptera; Rhinolophidae. The transcript is spliced from 4 exons.
UUUUCCGGCGGGGAGUAAGGCAGUCUCUAGAAGUCCUCGUUUCGGCGUCACCUGGCCGGAUGCGAACUCGAGGCGAAGCUGGUGCACCCGCAAGUUAGAGGAAAGUCUGCGGAAGCUCGAGCCUCGGGGCUCGGAGGGAAGGGUGGGGCUGAGCGGAGCUGGCCGCGGUCUGCGGAGGGUGGACUCGGGCUCUCCCCGCGUCCCUCUGGAGGAAGCACCUGAAGCGCGUUUCCCAUGGUCCCGCAGAAAGGCGGCGAGGGCCGCGCUGGGCUCCUGACUUGCAGGCCUCAUGGCGUGCGCUCUGUGCUUCCCUUUUUUGCCUGAAGAAGGGGCUCUGUGAAGGUGGAAGGUUUGUGCAGCCAAAUGGCUGAAAUCUGAUUCCGGAAGUUCCAUUGAUGCUCUUGGAUCUGCAGCCUGCGGGCUGGGUCGAAAAGUACUAGAACGCAGAAGGGAAGGAAUACAACUGUAUUAUGACAAUUACAUGUUAUAUUAGUUAUAUUAGUUAUUUUAUACCAAGUCUUUAUUAGACGGAAGCUGUGAACUGCAGUUGAAGGGAAUGGCCAGGGCGUUGAUUUGACUGGAAACAGUGUUCAAUGAAGGAUUUGAGGGUGGGAGAGAGGAGGUGUUCACAGCGUUGAAUGAAGUUUUAAGAGCUUGAUGUUUGGGUUCAUAUCAGGUCCUACGCAUGUUAUUUAGAGUAACCUUUUUUCCUCAUCUGUCAAACGAGCAUAGGAAUAAUACUUGCCUUAUAGGGUGGUUCUGAGGUAGAAUGAGAUGGCGCUUGUGAAGAUCAGUGUGUUGCGCUCCCGAUAAGUGUCCCCUGCCAUCGAUGUUACACAGGUUUUUAGAUGUCUCACUCAGUACUCAAGACUGUGGCUGGCAUUACCACCCCUGUGGGAGCACGCUUAAAAACCUCAUGUGCCGAGAGAGAAAGUCAUUUACUCCCUGGUGAACGACUUCAGUUUUAAAACAAGGUUUAUUUUACUCCUAGUCUCAUGGUCUUUAUAAUAUACAUUCCCCGCUUCCUACACCCAUUGGGUUUUCUCUGGCACAGUGAAGCAGUUCUAUAUUGUGAAGCUAUACAUUUUGAUAAUCAAACUAUUUGACCUAUUUUCUUAGGUCACAAGGCAUAACUGAGUCUUCUAGUUUUUUCCUGCCUUCUGUAGUGUUGUUUCACUCCAAAGCAUCUCGAUUAGAUGUUAGAAAAGGCAUUUGCCCCUUGGGACUCCAAGUGUAGGUUCCAACUGAUGGAAAUGUGGCCCCUACGCCCACCUUGAAACAAAACCAGAAGUAAAAAGCAGAAGGCCCCAGGAACAGGAAUCACACCUGGAAGAACGUAUUUCGGAACUGAAAAUUCACCCUAGAAUUUCAGCGUGGAAGCAGAAUCCCAGAAAGGAACAUCUUCAGGUGUUACUGGGCCAGAAUUUUCCUCCCCAGAAUGAGCAUAGUCUGGGUGGUAACACCAUUUUCAGAGACCGUUGAUUAUUGUAGCUCAGCAAAGUGUUCAACUUUCAGAAGAAAGAUAUGAGCUGCAAUUGAAGAGAAUGGGCAGGGUGAAGAUUUGACAAGGAAAGACACUUUAUUGGAGGAUUUGUGAGUGUGUGGGUUGUAAGAAAGGGUACCAGGCAUAGCUAUGGAAAUGAUUUCUCAUCACCUCCUAAACACACGUCAUUCCCUACAACCUCCAUUCUAUCUCUGUUUAUUCUGAGCUGCUCAGACCAUGUCCAUCACCACACUUGGGAUUCACUGCAUUACACCGUAACAGAAUCACAUGACGGAGGUCAAGAGAAGUUGUUUUGAACUAUGACUUCUGCCUUAUUUUAAAAUUAGGACUUAGAAGCUAAAUAGCUUAUCCAGUCAUGAAGUUUGCUAGUGAGAGAGCCAGGAACUGAAUUUAGUCUCUUGAUUCCCAGGUCAGGGCUCUGUCCUCGACCACAUUUAAGUUAAAACACGUUUCUUAGCAAAAGGUCCUCUUGAGAAACUUUAAGUAAGGGAGACCAAAAAGAUAAAGAUACUAAAGCACUUUUUUCUGAGCUCCUGGAUUAUCUGAUCUCAAGUGGCUAAAAUAUAGGAAAAUAGGUAACUGACAUAAUAUCAACAUUUGCCCAUGCCAAUAUUUUAAUCCUAAAAUCAAUUUUAAUGCUGCAGUAAUAUUCUAAAUUUUGUAUAUAUUCAGUUUUGUUCACCCAAUCUAUUAUUGGACUCAGGUUAUUUUUCAUUUUUUCAAAGGCAUAUAUUGACAGUACUUCAUAGAGAACAAUUGUUUACAUUCACUCAGUAUGAAAAGUUCUGUGUGACCAUUUCAGAAUUGUAAAUGGACAAGUGGAUAUUCUAUCAACAUGUUUCCUGUACCUUCCAGUACCAGAUUGGUCAAAGGGCCAGCUUCUUAAGUGGGCCAUUUUCUUGGUAGGUAAUUGUAAGAGCUGCUAUGUUAGCCAGAUUUCUCAUGAUUCCAUUUCCCAUUCUUCCUUACCCAGCCCUGGGAUCACCAUUCUUGGCUCUUUUUUUCAAGAGCAUCCGAAAAUGAACAAAUCCCAGAGAUCGGUUUCAUUCAGUGACCUGACUGAGCUCCUAGGAGGAGUGGUAGCACCUGGACCCUGCCAGAGGCUCCUGUGAUGUGAUGUGAUGUGAUGUGAUGUGAUGCUAGAGAACUAUAGCAGCUAGUCUAAGUGGGGUAUCUAUCGUGUUAGGAAACCAAAUGUGAUCUUCAAAUUGGAGCAGGGAGAAGAACCAUGAAUAGUGGAGGAAUUCUCAACCCUGAACUACUCAGGAAAACUUUUCAUGUAAAGACAAGCCUCACUUGACACCAAAGAAUUCAACUGGAGAGAGACCCUGUGGAUGCAAAGAAUGUGGGGAGAGCUUCACUGACAAAUAGCCUUCAUCGUACAUCAGAAAAUCCAUACAGGGGAGAAAUUCUAUGAGCUUAAUGAAUGUGGAAAGACCUUUUUCAGAAGUCAGCCCUCACUGAGCUACAUUACAGGUCGCACAUGGAGAAGAAACCUUAUGAAUGCAAGGGAUGUGAGAACGCCUUCAUCCAGAAAUCUUACCUUGCUAUUCAUCAAAGAACUCACAGAAGAGGGAAACCAAAUGAAUGUAAGGAAUGUGGGAAAACCUGUGAGGCAGCUCUCAAUGUGUAUUGAAGGACUCCUACAGGAGAGAAACCCGAUGAACGCUGUCAAUGUAGAAAAUUUUUAUAUAUUAAAUCAGCCCACGUUGCACAUCAGAUAACUAAUAGAGGAGAGAGAUCUUAUGUAUGAAAUGAAUGUGGAAAAUUUUUCUGCUGUAAGUCAACAGUCUAUACAUCAAAGAACACAGGAGAGAAAUGUGUGUUUAAUAAAUAUGGUAGAACAUUCAUGAUGAAGUCAAACCACAUGAGAGAAUGCACACAAAGGAGAAUCUUUAUGAGUGUAAUGAACAUGAACAUGCCAUCGGCAAAAACCCAACACCUUGUUGAACAUCAGAGAACUAUAUGGGAGAGACCAUAUGAAAGUAACAAAUGUGAGAGAACCUGCUGCCAAAAGGCAGCCCUCACUCACCAUCAGAGAACACACACAGAAGCGGAUCCUGCGAGUGUAGUAUAUGUGGGAAAACCUGCCGGAAGUUCUCCUUCAUUGAACAUUAGCGAAUUCACAUCAUGGAGAAGCUAUGAAUGUAAUGAGUGUGGGAAAUCCUGCCAUCAGUUAGCCUUCAGAGUACAUUGGAGAAGUCACACAAGAGAGAAACCCUUUGAGGGUAUCAAGUGUGGGAAAACCUAACAGUUGUAGACUCACACUGAACAUCAGAAAAUACAUGCGGGAAAAACCAUGUGACUGACAAAUGUGAGAAAACAUGUAUUUUGUCACAAAUCAAACUUCAUCUUAUAUCAGAAAACUCAUAAAGAGUGAAUUCCAAGAAAGCAAUGACCAAAAGAACACAAAUCAAAUAGUUUACACAAGGCUAACCCUACAUAAGCACAGAAGAGUGAAAUCUUAUCAAUUAAUAUGAAAAACUUUUCUGCCAUAAAUCAACCCUCACUCUAAUAGAGAACUCACACAGGAAAAAAAUAAAAGUGUAUUUAAUAAAUGUGGUAUAACAUUCAGUGUGAACUGUGGAAACAUUCAACAUUUCUGACAUGCUAAGUAUGCUUCCUUUUUAAAAUAAUGAGACAAGCAUUAUUUAAAUUAAAUUAAUUGAUUUCUCUUGACAUUGUUACUUGACAGUGUAUGUUGCAAGGUAUGAAGAUCUAACCUCUCUUGGUUCCAAAUCAACACCAAUUUUUCCUGCGAUAAUUGAAUACAAUUUCCCAGUUUUAAAUUCCCAGAUUAGACAGGUUGGUUUUUGUCUUUUAACUGUCUGCACAGUUUAGUAACAGACUCCGAUCCCUUUAUCUGCAGAGGUAGCAUUAAGAGAACUAACCAUGUUACUCCAUCCUCUUCUCACAGUGGGUAUACCCCAGAUGGGCGUUAGAUAAAGCUGAGCUAAUGAAAGCCCUUCCUAAGACCUUUAUAAUGGGAGAGGGACAUAAGUUAGCUAAUGUGUGAUCCUGAAGCUUCCAGCAGCCACGUUAAAAAACAGCAAUUGCAGUAGGGGGAAACAUGCAGAGGUAAGCAUAUUUGAGCAGCAAAGAGAAGUCUGAUAGUGUUUGUCUCCCUGUUAGUAGUUCCUGAUAUCCUGUUCUAUCAGUAGUUUGCUUAUGUCAACUAACAGGCUUUCAAUUUUUUUUUCUAAUCAACAUGUCCAUAGAAGUGUUCUUUAGAAUUCACUUACUAAAUUCUGAGAAAAGAAAAAGGCCUCUGUAAUGCCAAUUAGAAUUACGUUAUAUUUAUAUAUGUAGUAAGUCAGGAUUGCCAUUCAGUUCGUAGGAAAUGUUUUCGCUUCAAAUCCUGAUUUCCAUGAGUGGGACUUUUCCCUAAACCCAUUCCUGGCCUCUGCCACAUUAUACAUUCCACCCCAAGGAAAAUCA